This 85-nucleotide transfer RNA is filed under the name Spirosoma fluviale. RNAcentral describes it as "tRNA_Ser_ACT". It matches the Rfam family "tRNA". From Rfam's summary of the family: Transfer RNA (tRNA) molecules are approximately 80 nucleotides in length. Their secondary structure includes four short double-helical elements and three loops (D, anti-codon, and T loops). The record is from RNAcentral. Lineage: Bacteria; Pseudomonadati; Bacteroidota; Cytophagia; Cytophagales; Cytophagaceae.
AGAGUGGUUGGUAAGUGGCUGAAACCAACACCCUACUGAGGUGUCAGGCUUAAUUGUCUCGCGAGUUAAAAUCCCGCCCUCUCUG